AAAAAAAAAAUAAAAAAAAGAUCUGAGGCAGAGAGGAAGCCGAGUGCAUACACGAGUUCUCUGUCUCUGUGGCUGGAGAGGUAUGGUAAGGGUUACAGGAGCUUCUGGCAUCUGCCUUUUUUAAGAAACCUGCCAAGAGAAAAGGGCUCUGCAAAGUUCAUGUCUUUAAAAUGUAAGAACAAAAUAAAAGUAUCUGCAAAGCUUCUGAUCUGUGCAGAUGAGGAAGGACUGGCAGCAAGGAAUUCACCUGAGGGAGACUUGUAUGAUGAAGCCAGAAGAGCUGGUGAAAAGAUUGAUUUCCUGGAUUGUUUUAACAUCAGGACCUGGGACAACUGCAAAAGUUCAUCACUGCUCUCCAAGUCCUUCACAGAACUUUAUCUUGCUUUACUUGUAAUUUAUUUUCAGUAAAGGACUGCAAGGAGAAGGUGAAGGCAGAUUUCAGUAUAAACUGGGAUGUUUGAGGAGUUGAGCUCAGACCUCAGUGGCAUGGAGUUGCAGUAGAGAAACUUGCACAGCUAUAUCUGAGUUCUCUUCUCUUCUCUUCUCUUCUCUUCUCUUCUCUUCUCUUCUCUUCUCUCUUCUCCUCUCCUCUUUUCUCUUAUCCUUCCUUCCUUCCUUCCUUCCUUCCUUCCUUCCUUCCUUCCUUCCCAGUGAAAUCCAUACUUUGACGAAUACACCUGAAGCACACUGAUAACAUGAGCUUAUGGGAGCCUGCAUGAUGGAUUUCAAUGAAUAGUCCUUCCAUCAAGCCAGAAUUCAUAAGAAGUUCACUUCUGUCUGUCAGGGGACUGUCUGUGGCAGGUUCAUCCAUCUCCAGUUUAAACCACUCUGUUUCACGCAAUUGUGGUCCAGUUCUGCUCCGAGUUACACCCAUUGACUUGAGCAGAUCCACAUGAAUGUUAACAACAAAAAGUAAACAAAACAGAAUUUAACUCUAUUGAUUUUCCUAAUACACUCAUCAAUGUAUGUUACAAAUGUGAAAUCCCAGAAGCGUUAAUUCUGGAAAUAUCUGUCCACAAUAGUCAACAUAAUUCACCAAAUGGAAAGAUGGAGAUUCUCCAGGAUUAAUAACAUGGAAAAGUAUGUUAUUUGUUGUGAUAAAUAUUUGGAAGGCAACUUUAUUGUCAGGAGUAUAAAGACCCACCCGUUACUUGGAAAAUCAGUACAAAGCAACAGAAUAUCUCACUUUAAGAAAAACAUCAAGGAGAAAAGAGGAAGUUAUCCAAGAACUGGGGAAACUUGACCAGGGUCUGCAGGGAUUUUAAAUUUCAAGACUGUUUGUUGUUUAAACUGAGUCACACCGAUGCAACAGAGAAUUUGUCCUUGGCAGCAGAACUGUUAGAACGGAGAGUUAAUGCUCCCUUGUGUCAACCCACUGAAUCCGGGUCAUCAUGUCUUAAUUAAAUUGUACAUGCUAUGAAAUACCAUUGAACGUCAAUCCAGUUCCUUAGUGUAUAGAAUAUUAUUUUUAUUUAUAGGGUUUGGCAGUCACUUCUGGAAAAUAAAAAAAGCUAUUGAAAUAUAAAGAUUGCCCA
RNAcentral lists this long non-coding RNA (1535 nucleotides) under Anas platyrhynchos platyrhynchos (common mallard). RNAcentral's name for it is "lncRNA (ENSAPLG00000020847.1)". The record is from RNAcentral. Lineage: Eukaryota; Metazoa; Chordata; Aves; Anseriformes; Anatidae.